RNAcentral lists this ribosomal RNA (497 nucleotides) under uncultured bacterium. RNAcentral describes it as "partial 16S ribosomal RNA". It matches the Rfam family "Bacterial small subunit ribosomal RNA", at positions 29 to 507 of the family's 1533-position model. The record is from RNAcentral.
AAUGAACGCUGGCGGCGUGCCUAAUACAUGCAAGUCGAACGAACAGACGAUGAGCUUGCUCCUCUGACGUUAGCGGCUGGCGGAUGAGUAAGACGUAGAUAACCUACCUAUAAGACUGGGAUAACUUCGUGAAACCGGAUCUAAUACCACCUAAUAUAUUCUACCGCAUGGUUCAAUAGUUAUAGGGAGUUUUGCUGACACUUUUAGAUGAUGUCGGGCCGCAUUGGCUACGUGGUAAGGUAACGGCUUACCAAGGCAACGAUGCGUAGCCGACCUGAUAGGGUGAUAGGACAAACUGGAACUGAGACACGGGCCAGGGUCGUACGGGAGGCAGCAGUAGGGAAUCUUCCGCAAUGGGCGAAAGCUUGACGGAGCAACGCCGCGUGAGUGAUGAAGGUCUUCGGAUCGUAAAACUCUGUUAUUAGGGAAGAACAAAUGUGUAAGUAACUAUGCACGUCUUGACGGUACCUAAUCAGAAAGCCACGGCUAACUACGUG